UAGGGCCGAUGCCGUCGGGACCGACAAAAUUACCAAAUUUGCUCACUAGAAAGGGGCGAGAGCAAACAUGUACUGAAAAAAUUCUACCGUUUUGAGCAGAAUUAAACAAACGAUGUCGCAGCGUGUAGAUGUUUGUUGAUAUUUAUUUUAAGAAAAAAAUUGUAUCAGAUUAAAAUUGUGGAUGGUUUUUUUUGUAAUAACCAGUUAAAUUCGCAAUUUCGUUACAUUUUUUCGGGGUUUUCCAGGAAUUGAACGAGAAAGUGUAAAUGCUGGCAGUGUUCUGAAUAUCACUCAUUUUCAAUGAAUGUUUCUGAUUGCACUUCGCACCUGAACGUACAGCGGUCGGGUUUCGUUAUUGAUUGCUACUGGACCUACCCGAUCAUCGAUCGUUCAAUUCAUCGCUAAAAUACAGAUCACCUCGCACGAUGCUUGCUGUCAAAACAGUGCAGCACCAUCAUCAAAUUGGAAUAUCACCAAUGCGCAAUGCAUAUGGCGAAUCUUGUUGGUCUUCGAUCAGGAGUGAAUGGAUCAGGCAGCAGAUACUGAGUGAGCUACAUUCAGAAUGGAUCAGUUUGUAUCUCACUCAUCUCCGAUAUGCGAUGUUUGCUGAACCGAUGAUUCUGAAUGAUGCGACUCGGUUUGCAUAGCUGAUAGGAGCGCUGAUCGAGAUUGCAUACCAGCCAGGCGAAGCAGUAGCGAGAGGCGCUAUCCCAUUAUACAAUCGGAAUGUUUCCAACAGGAAACGCAUCCUGAGUGUUUGUUUUGAUUGAUUUUCGGACCAUUGAAUGCUGGUUCUGAUGAUAAACAAACUUGAAGCAUCGUAAUUUGUGACCAAAAAUGGUCACUCGGAGUUUCUCGGAGUAAUAAUAAUCGAGACCAGUGCGCUGUGCAAGAUUUUUGUAUCCAACCGGCCAAUAUGGGUGGCAUUCCAGUACUGUCCCUACCGAUUCGGCUUUCGGAACGAGGUCCAAUAGGUUUGCAACUAAUGGGACCCAGUUUUUCGGAGCAGCAAUUAUUUCAAUCAGCACGUUGGAUAGAAAAAGAAGUUGAAGAUUUUUUAGAAAAGUAUGAUUUUAAUAUAAAUAUAAUAAACAAAUAAAGUUGAAUUUUAGUUGAAUUGUUUGGUUUGUUGAAUUUUGUUUUUCGGGUCCAUUUGUUAGGAAAUAUAAGUGCCCGGCGUUUUGAAAGCAAAAUCGAGCUUAAUUCGAAAAUAUAUUCUUAUCUGAACUUAUUUUAUUCAAUCAAGUCGUCCUACAAUUCAAUAAGUUUUUAAUCACAAUCCAGCAAACGACUGACACGGAAUUGGAAACACCGUAAGGGAAACUCAACGCUUUACAACCACCACCGGUUGAAAGCGGUGUCCUAUAGAUAUGAUGAUGAGGCCAAGCGAAGCAAACAUCCUGCUCGGAAGUUCUUGCUGCAUCCGUCAUCGGACCCGAUUGCUGGUGUUCGAAGCUGCUUGGCCUUGCUGCUUCUGUAUGGCAUGUUCAACCAGGAUGUAGACUUUGACGUCACGAUACGGAUAGCAGCUAUCCCGUCAAAUAACUGCCAACACCCCCAGGCCCUUUUAAGACCAACAUUCAUCGAAAUUUGAGCAAAAA
This is a long non-coding RNA of Uranotaenia lowii, 1601 nucleotides long. RefSeq lists it as uncharacterized. The transcript has 3 exons. The record is from RefSeq and is a predicted model, not a curated record. Lineage: Eukaryota; Metazoa; Arthropoda; Insecta; Diptera; Culicidae.